Molecule: ribosomal RNA, 454 nt
Filed under: uncultured bacterium
Lineage: Bacteria
Description: bacterial SSU rRNA
Rfam family: Bacterial small subunit ribosomal RNA
Source: RNAcentral
UACGGGAGGCAGCAGUGGGGAAUAUUGCACAAUGGGCGCAAGCCUGAUGCAGCCAUGCCGCGUGUAUGAAGAAGGCCUUCGGGUUGUAAAGUACUUUCAGUCGUGAGGAAGGUGUUAAGGUUAAUAACCUUAGCAAUUGACGUUAGCGACAGAAGAAGCACCGGCUAACUCCGUGCCAACAGCCGCGGUAAUACGGAGGGUGCGAGCGUUAAUCGGAAUUACUGGGCGUAAAGGGCACGCAGGCGGUUAAUUAAGUUGGAUGUGAAAUCCCCGGGCUUAACCUGGGAAUGGCAUUCAAGACUGGUUAGCUAGAGUCUUGUAGAGGGGGUAGAAUUCCAUGUGUAGCGGUGAAAUGCGUAGAGAUGUGGAGGAAUACCGGUGGCGAAGGCGGCCCCUGGACAAAGACUGACGCUCAUGUGCGAAAGCGUGGGGAGCGAAACAGGGAUUAGAUACC